GCGAGGAGCUGGUUAUGCCUCCGCCUUGUUGCCCUGAAAGCCGCAGCGACAGCGAAAAAGGCUAA
Molecule: long non-coding RNA, 65 nt
Organism: Talpa occidentalis (Iberian mole)
Lineage: Eukaryota; Metazoa; Chordata; Mammalia; Eulipotyphla; Talpidae
Exons: 2
Source: RefSeq, a predicted model, not a curated record